RNAcentral lists this ribosomal RNA (589 nucleotides) under uncultured Actinomycetes bacterium. RNAcentral describes it as "bacterial SSU rRNA". It matches the Rfam family "Bacterial small subunit ribosomal RNA", at positions 35 to 631 of the family's 1533-position model. Lineage: Bacteria; Bacillati; Actinomycetota; Actinomycetes. The record is from RNAcentral.
GCUGGCGGCGCGCCUAAUGCAUGCAAGUCGAGCGACGCAUAUUCGGUGGGUAACCACUGGGUAUGACGGAGCGGCGAACGGGUGAGUAACACGUGAGUAACCUGCCCCGAAGAUCGGGAUAGCCCGGGGAAACCCGGAUUAAUACCGAAUACCCUCUCUGGAUCGCAUGGUCCGAUGAGGAAAUGCCUUUGUGCUUCGGGAUGGACUCGCGGCCUAUCAGCUUGUUGGUGAGGUAACGGCUCACCAAGGCAACGACGGGUAGCUGGUCUGAGAGGACGAUCAGCCACACUGGGACUGAGACACGGCCCAGACUCCUACGGGAGGCAGCAGCAGGGAAUCUUGUCCAAUGGGCGAAAGCCUGAGACAGCGACGCCGCGUGAGGGAUGAAGGCCUUCGGGUUGUAAACCUCUUUCAGGAGGGACGAAAUUGACGGUACCUCCAGAAGAAGCCCCGGCCAACUACGUGCCAGCGGCCGCGGUAAUACGUAGGGGGCAAGCGUUGUCCGGAUUUAUUGGGCGUAAAGGGCUCGUAGGCGGCUCAACAAGUCGGUCGUGAAAACCCAGGGCUCAACCCUGGGACGCCGGUCGAU